Molecule: small RNA, 29 nt
Filed under: Bombyx mori (domestic silkworm)
Lineage: Eukaryota; Metazoa; Arthropoda; Insecta; Lepidoptera; Bombycidae
Description: ovarian small RNA-7107
Source: RNAcentral
UCAUUAGUGUCUACUGAACUUGUCAUGGU